This is a small nucleolar RNA of Otolemur garnettii (small-eared galago), 135 nucleotides long. NCBI's taxonomy places the organism in Eukaryota, Metazoa, Chordata, Mammalia, Primates, Galagidae. The record is from Ensembl.
UUGCAUUCUUAAACCCUCUUGGUUGCUUCGCUCAAAGUGCUUCCAAGAUAUGAGUGAAUGCUAUAGAAAUUGCAGGGUAGUCCAAAGGGCUGCGCUUCUCUUGUGGUUCAGUCUUAUUUCCUACCUGCGACAUUU